This is a long non-coding RNA of Podarcis raffonei (Aeolian wall lizard), 327 nucleotides long. RefSeq lists it as uncharacterized. NCBI's taxonomy places the organism in Eukaryota, Metazoa, Chordata, Lepidosauria, Squamata, Lacertidae. The record is from RefSeq and is a predicted model, not a curated record. The transcript is spliced from 2 exons.
GCUGCAGGAUGACAUCAUGACACAGAGUUAGCUAGGUCAUAAAUGCCUCCAAAGCAUGUUAUCUUACUGAAGUGAUAACUAGAUGUGACAGAAGCAGACCUGUGUGGGUGUGUUCAGGCUUGCCACAAAGCCUCCCCCACCCACCAACCUACACAAACAUACAAGCCAUUUCAGUUGAGCCAUAGAUAACACAAGAUUGUUGCAACACAACGGAUUGACUUCACCCCUGGAGAAACACCCCACUUUCUCUUGACACAGAUGGAUGCCAGCAACAACAACGAAAUCUAUACUGCAACACACUUACUAUCAAAGAGACUUUCUGGUUCA